UACAGAGGGUGCGAGCGUUGUUCGGAAUUACUGGGCGUAAAGGGCGCGUAGGCGGUCAGCACAAGUCAGUUGUGAAAUCUCCGGGCUUAACUCGGAAAGGUCAACUGAUACUGUGCGACUAGAGUGCGGAAGGGGCAACUGGAAUUCUCGGUGUAGCGGUGAAAUGCGUAGAUAUCGAGAGGAACACCUGCGGCGAAGGCGGGUUGCUGGGCCGACACUGACGCUGAUGCGCGAAAGCCAGGGGAGCGAACGGG
This 254-nucleotide ribosomal RNA is filed under the name uncultured bacterium. RNAcentral describes it as "partial 16S ribosomal RNA". It matches the Rfam family "Bacterial small subunit ribosomal RNA", at positions 524 to 776 of the family's 1533-position model. The record is from RNAcentral.